This 468-nucleotide ribosomal RNA is filed under the name uncultured bacterium. RNAcentral's name for it is "partial 16S ribosomal RNA". It matches the Rfam family "Bacterial small subunit ribosomal RNA", at positions 28 to 507 of the family's 1533-position model. The record is from RNAcentral.
GACGAACGCUGGCGGCGUGCUUAACACAUGCAAGUCGAACGGAAAGGCCCUGCUUUUGUGGGGUUCUCGAGUGGCGAACGGGUGAGUAACACGUGAGUAACCUGCCCUUGACUUUGGGAUAACUUCAGGAAACUGGGGCUAAUACCGGAUAGGAGCUCCUGCUGCAUGGUGGGGGUUGGAAAGUUUCGGCGGUUGGGGAUGUACUCGCUGCUUAUCAGCUUGUUGGUGGGGUAGUGGCUUACCAAGGCUUUGACGGGUAGCCGGCCUGAGAGGGUGACCGGCCACAUUGGGACUGAGAUACGGCCCAGACUCCUACGGGAGGCAGCAGUGGGGAAUAUUGCACAAUGGGCGGAAGCCUGAUGCAGCAACGCCGCGUGCGGGAUGACGGCCUUCGGGUUGUAAACCGCUUUCGCCUGUGACGAAGCGUGAGUGACGGUAAUGGGUAAAGAAGCACCGGCUAACUACGUG